UGUAUAAAAGUGUAUGAAGCACAAAAGAUUUUGAAUCUAUUAGACAAGUUUAAUUCUUGAUUAUACAA
RNAcentral lists this transfer RNA (68 nucleotides) under Kapsa arca. RNAcentral describes it as "tRNA-Gln". It matches the Rfam family "tRNA". Rfam says of the family: Transfer RNA (tRNA) molecules are approximately 80 nucleotides in length. Their secondary structure includes four short double-helical elements and three loops (D, anti-codon, and T loops). The record is from RNAcentral. Lineage: Eukaryota; Metazoa; Arthropoda; Insecta; Hemiptera; Cicadellidae.